This 912-nucleotide ribosomal RNA is filed under the name Euglena cantabrica. RNAcentral's name for it is "bacterial SSU rRNA". It matches the Rfam family "Eukaryotic small subunit ribosomal RNA", at positions 1008 to 1802 of the family's 1831-position model. Lineage: Eukaryota; Euglenozoa; Euglenophyceae; Euglenales; Euglenaceae. The record is from RNAcentral.
UUNGACNCCGUUGUAUCCACCCACUGUAAACUGUGCCAGCCAGGCCUCAGCAGGGCAACCUAUCUAUACGAGCACCCUGCUGGGGCCAUGCCCCCUUCACCGAGAAAUCCACAGCCUGUGGGUUCAGGGGGGAGUACGGUCGCAAGGCUGAAACUUAAAGGAAUUGACGGAAUGGCACCACAAGGCGUGGAGUAUGCGGCUUAAUUUGACUCAACACGGGGAAUGUUACCAGGUCAGGACGCAGCUGGGAUGGACAGAUUGAGAGCUCUUUCUUGAUCCUGUGGAAGGUGGUGCAUGGCCGCUCCUGAUUGGUGGAGUGAUUUGUCUGGUUGAUUCCGAUAACGAGUGAGAUCUCUGCCUCCUACUAGACCCUGGCUCGCAACUGGUAGGGUCUGGCCAGGUGGGUCCAACGGCUGGGGAACCUCAGGGUGUGGUGGCUCCGNCUNCUGCCCCCUGCCCCAGCUGCCCCUGGCUGCCCAAGAGCCCUUGGGUGUAAUGCUUCUUUAGGUGCUGUGUCCGUCUGCCAAGGGCAAGCAUGCUAGAGCCAACAGCAGGUCUGUGAUGCUCCCAGAUGUCCUGGGCCGCACGCGCACUACAUUGCUCCAGUGAGGGUGUGUCCGCCCGACCCCGUUCGGGCCCUGGCCGGAGGCGGCCGGGAAACCCUGCAAGCCUGGAUCGUACUGGGGAUAGAUGAUUGCAACUGUCUGCCUUGAACGUGGAAUGCCUAGUAAGGGCCGGUCAUCAGCCGGCCCUGAUUGUGUCCCUGCCAUUUGUACACACCGCCCGUCGUUGCUACCGAUGGCAGCUGGAUAGAGCCCCCGGGAGGCCCUCGGCGACCCCUCGCGGGGGACCCCUGGGCCGAAACUGGGCGAUGUCCUGCUGCUAGAGGAAGCAAAAGUCGUAACAAGGUUG